AGGUAGGGCCUAGUGGGUUUCAACAGAAGGUAAUAUUUUAUAUUCAGAGGCACUUGAGAGUGCAACAUAGCAACAUAGCAAUCAGAUGCACAAUUUGGGAACGUAAGUGCAAAGGGCAAAAUCAAGAGAAGAAUGUCUGGCCACUCUCUAUAUAAACCUGUUCCUGAUGUUCAUCUAUAAUAUGAAAUGGCCUCCUAAUAGCUCUGCCAUUGGCAUCCAGUGGUUCUGAACUGGGCUGAAGCCACCAGGUAUGAGGUGUUUUGAUUUUGUCCAGUAACUGGAGGAUACACUACUGGCCUUUAUCAGGGUCCUCUGCCCAAAGUUUGAGGGAACAGGAAGAUAAAAAGAGCUGCAUUUAACAUCUGGCCACACAUAUAUGCUCUGCUAUGGGAAGAUAUCCCAGGGAGGCUCUCCAGGGGAGAAGCAGGGAGGAAGGAAGGAAGAAAGAAGAAGAUAAUCACAAGAAGGCAGAAAGGUGAGAAACUCAGACACAAGAGCAACCAAAUUCUGAGUAAAACCAGGGGUCCUUUUAUCACCCCCUGACCAUCUGCUCUCCAUAUUCUUUAUCUUGCCCCUUUCUUUACCCUAUUCUAUAUGCUCAAGUAACUCCUCCCCUUUGCCAUUCCACUUUACUUUUAUUUCUUCUUUUUUUUUUAUUUUUUAAAGUAUUUUUUUUAGUUGUAGAUGGACUCAAUAUCUUUAUUUAUUUAUUUUUAUGUGGUGCUGGGGACCGAACCCAGUGCCUCACACAUACGA
This is a long non-coding RNA of Marmota monax (woodchuck), 756 nucleotides long. RefSeq lists it as uncharacterized. Lineage: Eukaryota; Metazoa; Chordata; Mammalia; Rodentia; Sciuridae. The transcript has 3 exons. The record is from RefSeq and is a predicted model, not a curated record.